GCAUAUCAAUAAGCGGAGGAAAAGAAACCAACAGGGAUUGCCCCAGUAACGGCGAGUGAAGCGGCAACAGCUCAAAUUUGAAAUCUGGCCCUCGGGUCCGAGUUGUAAUUUGUAGAGGAUGCUUUUGGCGAGGUGCCUUCCGAGUUCCCUGGAACGGGACGCCAUAGAGGGUGAGAGCCCCGUCUGGUCGGACACCGAGCCUCUGUAAAGCUCCUUCAACGAGUCGAGUAGUUUGGGAAUGCUGCUCAAAAUGGGAGGUAUAUGUCUUCUAAAGCUAAAUAUUGGCCAGAGACCGAUAGCGCACAAGUAGAGUGAUCGAAAGAUGAAAAGCACUUUGAAAAGAGGGUUAAAAAGUACGUGAAAUUGUUGAAAGGGAAGCGCCUAUGACCAGACUUGCGCCCGGUGAAUCAUCCAGCGUUCUCGCUGGUGCACUUUGCCGGGCACAGGCCAGCAUCAGUUUGGCGCGGGGGAAAAAGGCUUCGGGAAUGUGGCUCCCUCGGGAGUGUUAUAGCCCGCUGCGUAAUACCCUGCGCCGGACUGAGGUACGCGCAUCGCAAGGAUGCUGGCGUAAUGGUCAUCAGCGACCCGUCUUGAAACACGGACCAAGGAGUCGUCUUCGUAUGCGAGUGUUCGGGUGUCAAACCCCUACGCGUAAUGAAAGUGAACGUAGGUGAGAGCUUCGGCGCAUCAUCGACCGAUCCUGAUGUUCUCGGAUGGAUUUGAGUAAGAGCAUACGGGGCCGGACCCGAAAGAAGGUGAACUAUGCCUGUAUAGGGUGAAGCCAGAGGAAACUCUGGUGGAGGCUCGCAGCGGUUCUGACGUGCGAAUCGAUCGUCAAAUAUGGGCAUGGGGGCGAAAGACUAAUCGAACCUUCUAGUAGCUGGUUUCCGCCGAAGUU
RNAcentral lists this ribosomal RNA (898 nucleotides) under Beauveria bassiana. RNAcentral's name for it is "LSU rRNA". It matches the Rfam family "Eukaryotic large subunit ribosomal RNA", at positions 38 to 968 of the family's 3401-position model. The record is from RNAcentral. Lineage: Eukaryota; Fungi; Ascomycota; Sordariomycetes; Hypocreales; Cordycipitaceae.